RNAcentral lists this long non-coding RNA (473 nucleotides) under Callithrix jacchus (white-tufted-ear marmoset). RNAcentral describes it as "lncRNA (ENSCJAG00000081707.1)". The record is from RNAcentral. Lineage: Eukaryota; Metazoa; Chordata; Mammalia; Primates; Cebidae.
AAAAAGAUGAUGCAUGUGAACCUCUACAUAUGGUUGUUGGAUGCUUACAUUUGUUUAAUGGAACUAAAACAUUUAUUCUCUUUUUCUUCAUCCUUCCAUCAACUGUCCUCCAUGCCCAACCAGUUUCUACCCUGCUGAUUUUCUGCCUUUAGAAACAAAGAAGAAUUCAGCUUUUCUUCAUGAUGUAGGAUGCUGUAUGUACUUGGAGCCAUCCUCAGUCACAGCUGCCUUUUCGUGGAUCCAAGAUGGUUCUCUACCUGGCUGGUGCCAUGCCGCCUGCUAUUUUACUGUACACAUGAUGACAAAGUAAAGGGAAGAUGUGGCCUCCAUGUUGAACAUGGCUGACUCUCAGCAGGGAUUCUGUUCAGUGUCUGGGCUUCUGCUGCUGCUCUGCUCCCUUUGAGAAAAGGAAGGAAAACGGGAAACAGAAUGACACUGGGGACCCACUAUGUGCCUCUCCCCUUGGAAGAAGU